This 497-nucleotide ribosomal RNA is filed under the name uncultured bacterium. RNAcentral describes it as "partial 16S ribosomal RNA". It matches the Rfam family "Bacterial small subunit ribosomal RNA", at positions 28 to 507 of the family's 1533-position model. The record is from RNAcentral.
GAUGAACGCUGGCGGCGUGCCUAAUACAUGCAAGUCGAGCGAACGGACGAGAAGCUUGCUUCUCUGAUGUUAGCGGCGGACGGGUGAGUAACACGUGGAUAACCUACCUAUAAGACUGGGAUAACUUCGGGAAACCGGAGCUAAUACCGGAUAAUAUUUUGAACCGCAUGGUUCAAAAGUGAAAGACGGCCUUGCUGUCACUUAUAGAUGGAUCCGCGCUGCAUUAGCUAGUUGGUAAGGUAACGGCUUACCAAGGCAACGAUGCAUAGCCGACCUGAGAGGGUGAUCGGCCACACUGGAACUGAGACACGGUCCAGACUCCUACGGGAGGCAGCAGUAGGGAAUCUUCCGCAAUGGGCGAAAGCCUGACGGAGCAACGCCGCGUGAGUGAUGAAGGUCUUCGGAUCGUAAAACUCUGUUAUUAGGGAAGAACAUAUGUGUAAGUAGCUGUGCACAUCUUGACGGUACCUAAUCAGAAAGCCACGGCUAACUACGUG